GAUGAAGAACGUAGCGAAAUGCGAUAAGUAAUGUGAAUUGCAGAAUUCAGUGAAUCAUCGAAUCUUUGAACGCACCUUGCGCCCUUUGGCCAUUCCGAAGGGCAUGCCUGUUUGAGUAUCAUGAACACCUCAACUCUUUAUGGUUUUCCAUGAUGAGCUUGGACUCUGGGGGUUUUGCUGGCUCACAGUCGGCUCCUCUAAAAUGAAUCAGCUUACCAGUGUUUGGUGGGUAUCAUGGGUGUGAUAACUAUCUACGCUUGUGGUUUUUCCACCAGGUAACCUUCAGCAGUGGAGGUUCGCUGGAGCUCAUAGAUGUCUCUCCUCAGUGAGGACAGCCUUUUGAAUGUUUGAUCUCAAAUCAGGUAGGACUACCCGCUGAACUUAAGCAUAUCAAUAAGCGGAGGA
Molecule: unclassified non-coding RNA, 405 nt
Filed under: soil metagenome
Description: partial contains 5.8S ribosomal RNA, internal transcribed spacer 2, and large subunit ribosomal RNA
Rfam family: 5.8S ribosomal RNA (bases 1-121)
Source: RNAcentral